Molecule: ribosomal RNA, 497 nt
Filed under: uncultured bacterium
Lineage: Bacteria
Description: partial 16S ribosomal RNA
Rfam family: Bacterial small subunit ribosomal RNA
Source: RNAcentral
GAUGAACGCUGGCGGCGUGCCUAAUACAUGCAAGUCGAGCGAACAGAUGAGGAGCUUGCUCCUCUGACGUUAGCGGCGGACGGGUGAGUAACACGUGGAUAACCUACCUAUAAGACUGGGAUAACUUCGGGAAACCGGAGCUAAUACCGGAUAAUAUAUUGAACCGCAUGUUUCAAUAGUGAAAGACGGUUUUGCUGUCACUUAUAGAUGGAUCCGCGCCGCAUUAGCUAGUUGGUAAGGUAACGGCUUACCAAGGCAACGAUGCGUAGCCGACCUGAGAGGGUGAUCGGCCACACUGGAACUGAGACACGGUCCAGACUCCUACGGGAGGCAGCAGUAGGGAAUCUUCCGCAAUGGGCGAAAGCCUGACGGAGCAACGCCGCGUGAGUGAUGAAGGUCUUCGGAUCGUAAAACUCUGUUAUUAGGGAAGAACAAAUGUGUAAGUAACUAUGCACGUCUUGACGGUACCUAAUCAGAAAGCCACGGCUAACUACGUG